Long non-coding RNA from Eptesicus fuscus (big brown bat), 397 nucleotides. RefSeq lists it as uncharacterized. NCBI's taxonomy places the organism in Eukaryota, Metazoa, Chordata, Mammalia, Chiroptera, Vespertilionidae. The record is from RefSeq and is a predicted model, not a curated record. The transcript is spliced from 3 exons.
CUGAUGCUCUUGGUUCCAGGACCACACCCUGAGGACCUCUGCCCUCAGUUUUUGUUUUCAGAGUGGUGCUCCUUCUAGUUACCUGAGCACAGAAAGAGAAAUGUAUGUAUCUGAGAUGAAGAGAAACAAUUAAGAAACUUGAAAUUCCACUUGAAUUUCAAAAACAACAACAAAAACCAAGUGAGUGAAUGUUACUGGUGGUGGAUCCCCCAGCAUCAAUCAAACCAUCGGAGACUGCAGUACCAGUUGACACCUUGAUGCAACCUCAUGAGAGACUGAGCCAGGCCCACCCAACUAAACUGCUCUGGAUUUCUCAUUCUCGAAAUUGUGUGGAAUAAUAAGUGUUUGCUGUUUACAAGCUUCUAAUACUGAGGUAAUUUGUUACACAGAAAUAGAU